CACAGACCCGUACCUGUAUAAAUCCUAAUUCCGCGCCACCGAAUCCCACCGCCCUUGGGUGGCGGCGCCGAUUCCAAACUCCACCACAAUAUUACCCCUGAACAAGCAGACCACCCCCAUUACGAAUCCAUGAACCAUUUGCCUCGAACCAAAUCACACCUGCUCGAAUCUUGGUUUGAAAAUCUGCCCCAAAACCAAAAUCGUCCAAAUCCAACAAAACUUACACCCUACAACCUCCUUGACUUCCCCAUGAUGGAACCCAAACCAAAAUCUUUCAAAUCUAAGCCAAAGUCCAUUAAUUCAGAUCUAUGGUUCACUAUCGAGACCUUUUAAAUGUUCGGCUGGUGUUCCAGUGAUUUUGAAAUCAUAUUAUGUGUUUGUUCUUACUAAGAACAAACACAUAAUAUAGUUUAAAGAUCAAUUUCGAGUUCGGUCAAGUCCAACACAAAUUAGUGAGUUUCUCUUUGUUUUUUCUUUUCUUUCUUUGUUUCCUUCUUUCUACUUCAUGUGUGAUGGAUUAUCUAUAUGUGCAAUUUGGUUUAAAUUUAGUCUCAAUCCCACUUCUUUUUUAUCCGUGUAUUGUUCUGGUUUCCCAAUUAAUUUCGUUCGUAAUUCAUGAUAUAGUAAUUCACGAUUAAGUCUUUUUGUUUGUUGUUACGAAUUCAACUAAUUAGUUAGUGUUCUAUUUGCAUCUUUUGAAGUCAACCAGUGUUCUGAUAAGUAUUGGUUUGAAUCGGCUAAUUAGUUUGAAUUUGGAUUCAUUUAAAAUAAUAAUUAGCAUGUUAUUUUUACAUAUUUUGACAUUAUCAGUUAGUUCAAUUAUUGAUAGCAAUUGAUAGUUUGAACUUCAGUAAUUAGUUUGCAUUUGAGAUUCAAAGUUGAGAUUAGUUUUAGCUGUUUGAGUUGUUGAAUGACUGGUUUAACAACAGUCAUUUGACCAAGGUUGAAAGAGGUUAGGCAGUUAGUAAUUUUAGGGGGGUUUCAAGGGCUUUUUAGGGAUAGAAAAGGGUAGAAUCCUUAUGUUUUGUAAUUUUUAAAACAAGAAAAGGGUAGCUUAGGAAUUGUACAGCUAAAAGAGCAUUAUAGAAGCUCCUAAAAUAUGACUAUACUGAAGAUUUCAAUAAACGAGGGCAGUAACUUGAGAAAAAAGUUAGAAAAUGAGGGGUUAAAGUGAAAAAUGAGCUUGGACGGAAGUGAAAACAGAAAUUUGAAGAGAUGCCCUUAAUUUAGCCUAUAAAAUGCACCUCUAAUGCCUUCUUUCAGAUGUUUUUUGGACCUUAAAAAAGUUAUCCCAAAUAUUCUGCUCAAAUUUUAGAACUAAAGUUGAUUUUUAGUUCAGAAAUUAGCUCUUAGCUUUCCUUAGAUUCAAAAAACCAAAAACAUAGAUAGAAAACAUAAAAAAAAAUCAUUGUUUCAUUGAUUUUGGAUAGAUUCUGGAUUUUGCUUUGGAACAUUGUCUUACAACUGUGUUUUGGAUAUGUUUUUAGUUGAUCUGGGCUUAUUCUUGCUGGUUUAUGGUUUUUCUGUUGGGUAAUCAAGCUUCUGGGUGAUUUCAAGCAUAUUUAAGACUUAUCUGAUUGUUGAUUUCAUUCUUGGGCUGUAUUUGAUUGGCUGCUUGUUGCUGCUGACUUCUCGUUCUUCUUGUUCAAUUUCCAAUCUCCAGGUACACGCUUGAAAUUGGUACAAUGUAGUUGUUGAAUUAAAAUGCUGAAUUGAACUGUUUUCGUUGGAAUCGAUGUGUUCAAGCUGUUUUAGUGGAAUAAUAGUAGAUGAUUUUUUUUGUUUAGGAUUUAGUUUGAUUUGUUAAUUUGUAUUCGUUUAGGGUUCAGUUAGAUUUGUAAAUACAUCAUAUAGACUGGACAAACAUUGGACUAUAUAUGAGAACGUAUUAGACUGAUUUUGGGUGACUAUGAUAUAUGAGACUGUGCAUUUUUUAUAAGUCGUUCAGUUUGUUGAAUCCUUAAUAGUAGUAGCUGCGGAUAACUCACUAGGCUUUAGUAGUUUAAUCUUAUUUUUUUCAUACAUGUUAACUAAUGAAAUUAGAAUAGAAGCUGAAGUAAGAAUUGGUUUAUAAAUUUGUGGCCAUGUUUAUUAAUAAUUAAAAGGAGUGAAUUGUCUUGGAUGAUACAACUUUCCAUUUCACGUUUUAAAUUGUCCGAGUGUUAAUGUAGUGACGUGAGCUAAUCUUUCCAGGAUUGUUCUUUAUGCCUCGUCAAUUGGUGAACUGUUAGAUUCAUAGAUUACUAAUUGUUUGGAAUUAGUAUUUGUUUGGGUUGCAUUUGCUUCUGGUGGGAAUCGAUCUCCUGCCGACCCCAUGGGAGCCUGUGCGUUCAAAUUGGGCCCCAGCCCACAUCAAUUAUUUCCAUAUUGGAAACUCAAUGUCCCACUGCCGUUGCUCCUUUCCUUUUGGUAUAAUUGGGCCAGUCCAUUGGGCCCAUGUUUAAUGCUCUUUCAACUAGUUUAAGGUCCUGAUUUAUUUUUCAAAAUCGGGUAUUAAGUUAGGUAGCGGGUUUUAAACUAAAAGGUUCAUCCUUUUUCUUGAACCCGGACUUGAACCUAAAGCCCGAAUUUUAUUACAAUCAUUUAGGAUCUUUCUCGCUUUGUUAGAAAAAAAAUCAAUAUAGAAAAUAUAGUUAUCUUUUAGGUUAAUCCUUUUAAAAGAAAAUGAGACGAGCCUCGCCCAAGAAAAGUACAAAUCGCGGGGCCCUUAACAAAGGUUUAAAAAUAUUUUGAAAAAUCGGGAGGGGCCGUGCAAAUUUCACGACCCUCCCAAAAGAUAAUAACACGCUAGACUCUGUUAGGCGCAGCUUUAAUAAAUUACAUUCCUAAUUACAUGUGGGAAUUUUAUGCGGCCCAAAUCCAAAUCCUAAAAUGUUGAAUAAAGUGUGCCUAGGAUUGUGGGUUCAUUUGAUGCGGCGCAACCCGAAAACACAUUUUUAAAAAAUAUCUUAUUAAAUAAAAGCGGUAAAAAGUAAAAAUUGGCACGUAGGCUCUUCAUGUAAUAAAAUCAAAUAAAAGCUAAAUGUAGCAGUUAAGCGACCGUGCUAGAACCACGGAACUCAGAAAUGCCUAACACCUUCUCCCGGGUUAACAGAAUUCCUUAUCCAAAUUUUUGGUUCGCAGACUGUAACAGAGUCAUAUUUUUCCUCGGUUCGGGAAUCAACCGGUGACUUGGGAAACCAUUAAUCUCCCAAGUGGCGACUUUGAAUAAUUAAUAAUAAAUCUCGUUCCGAUUAUCCUUUAAUUGAAAAAACUCUUCUACGCUCUCUUUGCGGGGGUGUAUAGCAAAAAAGGAGGUGUGACAGCUCUGGCAACUAUGCUGGGGACAAGAACCCAGAACAUUUUGUUCAGGGUUCAGAAGUCGAGCUUAGAAUAAUUGUUGUGUUUAGUCUUAUCUGAUUUUGUUACAUGAUAUGUGCUUAAUGUGCUAAUUGAUUGCUUUUACCGCUUUUGAUAUUACGUGAACUGUAUAUAAAUUGCGCUAAACCAAAUCUCCUCUAUGAGUCUUCUAAAUUGUGAAGAAGGGUGUACGGUGUACGACUUCUUUUCUAUCUAGUAUCAAAAUCCCAAUUAGAACGAGGUUCGGAUAAGUCGCAAAGCUAGCGAAGCUUCUAUAUUCCCGGAAUUGCCUUCUCCCCCUUGAGCUGUCCGCUCGGGUAAGCCUGGUCUAGAACAAACACCCAGGUUUUGAACCUAGAAUAACUUAACCUCAUGUCGGAUUCGCAGUAGGAACGCUUAUCUGCAUCAUGUGCAUUUUGACUUAGGGGACUCAACCCAGGGGUUGGGUCCGUCUAGGGCUAGCAACAGGAAAUGAAAUGGCCAUCCUGAUGCAUCCUACUUGGUUUUCUGUGCAUUUAGUUGCUCGAUCCUGCAUAUUGACCGGAUUUCUGAAUCCCGGGAUAGUUAGAAAAUGAGAAAAAGAAGAAAAAGUGAAAAUAAUGAGUCAGGAAGUUAACUGAUGAGUUGAGAAAAACCAUUGCCCAAGUACUGCCAAGGUUCUGCCGAAAUUUUGAAAAAAAAUAUAAAAAAGAAUGUGAUAUCUUAUUUUUUUAAAUAGUUGUUUCAUUCAAAAGAGUCUGUCAUUUUUUGUCUUGUUUGCAAAAAUGAAAAAUGAAAAAAUAGUUUGUUUUGCCAUAAAAGUUGAAAAAAGCUUUUGAUUUUGCUUUCUUGCUUCAAAAUAGUUUAUUUGCCAACGAAAAUAGAGUGUUUCAUUAAAGAGAAACAGAGUCUUUAUUUUUAAUUCGAAUAAUAGGUGGUGAAAAAAGGGAGUCUUUAUUUUUUAAAUGGGAAAAUAGGUUGUUUGUUGAAAUGAAAAGAAACAUCGUAUUUUGUCUUGUUUUCAUAAAAUAGAAAAGGAGAAAUAGUUUGUUUUGCUACGAUAAUGAAAAAAAAGGUGCCUUUGUUUUAGUCCUAUUUUCGAAAAUGAAAAAAAGUGAGAUAGUUUAAUUAAAAUAGUUCGGCUAAUUUCCCGAACUAUGCAUGGUUUGAUUCUCACCGAACGUGAGAUACGUAGGCAACCCUUAUCGGGUCCAACCUCCCCUUUACAAAAAUAGCCCAAAAAUGUCGAAUUUUUAAUUUUUGCCGCAAAUAAGUCAAAUAAGGCGGCUUUGUCAAAAAUAGCCAAAUGUUCCCAAAUGGGACGCCGGAAGGUUGAAUUUGCGUAAGCGGCCGUUUCUGGUCGAAUGUGCUUUUAGGUUGACUACACAGCCUUUAAAUCUUCGUUUCCGAAGUGCCGAAGGGCCGCGUUUGAAAAUCAAGUCUUUUAUUUUCCAUUUUGAAACACACAAAAUAGCAUAUAAACAGUUUUAUCUCUUUUGAUUCGAAUAAAAGUUUUUCUUUUGCCUAAUCACCUUAAUAAAUGUGCAGGAUGAGCACAAAUCAUAUUGA
This 4887-nucleotide long non-coding RNA is filed under the name Nicotiana benthamiana. Its description in RNAcentral is "long non-coding RNA (NBEN_LNC028889)". Lineage: Eukaryota; Viridiplantae; Streptophyta; Magnoliopsida; Solanales; Solanaceae. The record is from RNAcentral.